Molecule: long non-coding RNA, 1774 nt
Organism: Magallana angulata
Lineage: Eukaryota; Metazoa; Mollusca; Bivalvia; Ostreida; Ostreidae
Exons: 3
Source: RefSeq, a predicted model, not a curated record
UUCAAUUUUAAUCUCAAAUUCAACCCACAAUUUCUCAUUUAAAAAAAACAACAAAUGAUAUAAUUUUCAAAUUGGGAUUUCUUUAUUAUAAAUUAGUAGAUAAACCAUAGAUAUAGUCCUCUCCUGCACGUUCUCAAAGAAUCCUUCAGAAUUCGACACACAAAAAUACCUUACUUUUCAAAAUACAAGUAAGACGAUAACGUGCUUAAAUAUUGAAAUCCCCUGUAGUGAAUUUUUUUCAAAGAUUGUUAUGGACCGAUCACAUUCUAACUAUCGACGUAACAGUUGAUGGACCUUAAUCAAAUAAAGAUAUACAUAUACAAUUGGCUUCAUUUAUACAAUAGCUUCAUAUCUAUGAAAUUAAUAAAAGUCAGCACUAUUUUCUUCAGCGCACGUAGAAUGCAUAAAAGAAUGAAAGAAGGUUUCACGUCAUCAAUUACGAAAAAAAAAAUAGGCCUACGGACGGCUGACAAGUUCAAAUGUUGCGUUGUUGCCACUGGGUGACCCAUUAAUCCAGGAAUAAUAUUCCUCACAUUGCGGGAUAAUUGAUGAACCUGUCCAGCUGUGGGGUAUCAAAUGACCAGCAUAUAUUCCUUGUCUUUUGAAAAUGAUGGCGUCCGUUUCUAUAUAUACUCUUUAAAAGAGGGACCCCGGGUCUCCAUUCAUUGUUUUGCUGAUUUCAAGUCAUCUGAGGACAAAUUCCAGUGUUGGAAAUGGAAAAAAAACAGUUUGUAUAUACAUGUAUUUAGGCAAAAAAAACCUCACAUCACAGGGGGUCAACAGUCAACGCCAAGGGUAAAAGUGUCAGAGUUUAUUGGAAAAUAUCCUGCCGCGAAGACAUACAAUGAGGGUGUACACGUAUUUGUGAAAUGACGUGAAUGUUGACUGCGUGAUAUCAUAUAUACCAGCAUGUUAUGCGCGGAUCCUUUUUUUCUCAAAAUGUUAUUUGUAAAUUAGAAGUAGGCCUUGGCCUAUAAUAAUAUUGAAUUUGAAGCGUAAUCAGUUUUAACAGAUUUGAAUAAUGUACAUGUAAGUGAACGCUUCAUUCAAUGUAAAGUACGAUCAAAGGACAACUACGGGAAUAAAUUAUUAAUGAAUUAUACACAUUAAAAUAAUAACUUACGCAGCAUUCAAACUUGUCAGCCGUCCGUAGGCUUAAUUUUUUCGUAAUUGAUGACGUGAAACCUUCUUCCAUUCUUUUAUUGCAUUCUACGUACGCCUAAGAAAAUAGUGCUGACAUUUAUUUAAUUAAUUUCAUAGAUGACGAUAUUUAUAAACAAAACCAACUGUAUAUGAUGUAUAUCGAUUUACUACUUGGACUUUUUUUUCUUAACGUGCAACAUCUUAAUUCAUAUCCCCUCAUACCAGUAAGUCAUUAUGUGCACGUGCCGUUAAAUAGGCGUUAAUUAAUGAAUUGUGUUUUGAUUCGUAUAUUCUUUACUCUAGGUAUCGAAUCUUCCUUACAAUGUAUAAAACGCGCAGGUUUUAGAUGGAUACAAUGUAUGUAUGCAUUGGAUUUUCAGAUGGAAAAAAAUCUUGCAAUGAUCGCCCCCUUCAUAACCCACAUGAAUCAUCAAAGAAAGCUUUUAUUGCUUAUAUAAAUUACAUCUUUCUUUUAAGAAAUUAAUACAUUGAUCGUAAGUGUAGAGUAAGUAAAACUUACUAAAUCAUUGUUCAUUUACAUCAGUACGUUAGAUGGAAGAAAUAGUCAAGUCGUCUUAUAUGGGACUUCGAUUCUGGCAUCUUGUGGCAGCAAUAAUGUGGCCCUCUCCCG